UACGGAAGGGCGAGCAGUGGGGGAAUAUUGCACAAUGGGCGAAAGCCUGAUGCAGCUAUGCCGCGUGUAUGAAGAAGGCCUUAGGGUUGUAAAGUACUUUCAUCGGGGAGGAAAAACAAAACUAAUAAUUUUAUUUCUUGACGUUACCCGAAAAAGAAGCACCGGCUAACUCCGUGCCAGCAGCCGCGGUAAUACGGAGGGUGCUAGCGUUAAUCAGAAUUACUGGGCGUAAAGAGCACGUAGGUGGUUUUUUUAAGUCAGAUGUGAAAUCCCUGGGCUUAACCUAGGAACUGCAUUUUGAAACUGAAAUACUAGAGUAUCGUAGAGGGAGGUAGAAUUCUAGGUGUAGCGGUGAAAUGCGUAGAUAUCUGGAGGAAUACCUGUGGCGAAAGCGGCCUCCUAAACGAAUACUGACACUGAGGUGCGAAAAGCGUGGGGAGCAAAACAGGGAUUAGAUACC
Molecule: ribosomal RNA, 460 nt
Filed under: uncultured bacterium
Lineage: Bacteria
Description: bacterial SSU rRNA
Rfam family: Bacterial small subunit ribosomal RNA
Source: RNAcentral